This 443-nucleotide ribosomal RNA is filed under the name uncultured bacterium. RNAcentral's name for it is "SSU rRNA". It matches the Rfam family "Bacterial small subunit ribosomal RNA", at positions 26 to 518 of the family's 1533-position model. The record is from RNAcentral.
AGAGCGAACGCUGGCGGCAGGCUUAACACAUGCAAGUCGAGCGCCCCGCAAGGGGAGCGGCAGACGGGAGAGUAACACGUGGGAACGCGCCCUUUGGUUCGGAAUAACUCAGGGAAACUUGAGCUAAUACCGGAUAAGCCCUUACGGGGAAAGAUUUAUCGCCAAAGGAACGGCCCGCGUCCGAUUAGCUAGUUGGUGAGGUAAUGGCUCACCAAGGCGACGAUCGGUAGCUGGUCUGAGAGGAUGACCAGCCUCAUUGGGACUGAGACACGGCCCAAACUCCUACGGGAGGCAGCAGUGGGGAAUAUUGGACAAUGGGCGCAAGCCUGAUCCAGCCAUGCCGCGUGGAUGAUGAAGGCCUUAGGGUUGUAAAGUCCUUUUAACGGGGAAGAUAAUGACGGUACCCGUAGAAUAAGCCCGGCUAACUUCGCGCCAGCAGCCGC